AGCAACCGCGGUAAUUCCAGCUCCAAUAGCGUAUAUUAAAGUUGUUGCAGUUAAAAAGCUCGUAGUUGAAUUUCGGGAUCAGUACGCUGGUCGUGCCUCCGGUAUGUACUGGUGUCACUGGUUCCUCCCUUCUGAAGAACCAUCAUGCUAUUAGUUUAGUGUGGUGGGAAAUCAGGACUGUUACUUUGAAAAAAUUAGAGUGUUUAAAGCAGGCUCACGCUUGAAUACAUUAGCAUGGAAUAAUGAAAUAGGACGUUGAUCCUAUUUUGUUGGUUUCUAGGAUUGACGUAAUGAUUAAUAGGGAUAGUUGGGGGCAUUAGUAUUCAAUUGUCAGAGGUGAAAUUCUUGGAUUUAUUGAAGACUAACUACUGCGAAAGCAUUUGCCAAGGAUGUUUUCAUUAAUCAAGAACGAAGGUUAGGGGAUCGAAGACGAUCAGAUACCGUCGUAGUCUUAACCAUAAACUAUGCCGACUAGGGAUCGGAUGAUGUUAAUUUUUAAUGACUCAUUCGGCGCCUUAAC
Molecule: ribosomal RNA, 520 nt
Filed under: uncultured Glomus
Lineage: Eukaryota; Fungi; Glomeromycota; Glomeromycetes; Glomerales; Glomeraceae
Description: SSU rRNA
Rfam family: Eukaryotic small subunit ribosomal RNA
Source: RNAcentral